Molecule: ribosomal RNA, 170 nt
Filed under: uncultured eukaryote
Lineage: Eukaryota
Description: partial small subunit ribosomal RNA
Rfam family: Eukaryotic small subunit ribosomal RNA
Source: RNAcentral
GUACACACCGCCCGUCGCUCCUACCGAUUGAAUGAUCCGGUGAAAUCUUGGGAUUGGGAAGCAUACUUGGGGCAACUCAAGCAACUUUCUGAGAACUUGCUUAAACCUUAUCACUUAGAGGAAGGAGAAGUCGUAACAAGGUUUCCGUAGGUGAACCUGCAGAAGGAUCA